GGAAGGGUGCCUGAGUGGUUUAAAGGGACGGUCUUGAAAACCGUUGUGCCUUAAUGGGUACCGAGAGUUCGAAUCUCUCCCCUUCCG
RNAcentral lists this transfer RNA (87 nucleotides) under Candidatus Falkowbacteria bacterium CG1_02_37_44. Its description in RNAcentral is "tRNA-Ser". It matches the Rfam family "tRNA". Rfam says of the family: Transfer RNA (tRNA) molecules are approximately 80 nucleotides in length. Their secondary structure includes four short double-helical elements and three loops (D, anti-codon, and T loops). Lineage: Bacteria; Candidatus Falkowiibacteriota. RNAcentral also lists the same sequence under 2 other names. The record is from RNAcentral.